RNAcentral lists this long non-coding RNA (188 nucleotides) under dengue virus type 2. RNAcentral describes it as "Dengue virus 2 partial sfRNA1". Lineage: Riboviria; Orthornavirae; Kitrinoviricota; Flasuviricetes; Amarillovirales; Flaviviridae. The record is from RNAcentral.
UAGAAGUCAGGUCGGAUUAAGCCAUAGUACGGAAAAAACUAUGCUACCUGUGAGCCCCGUCCAAGGACGUUAAAAGAAGUCAGGCCAUCAUAAAUGCCAUAGCUUGAGUAAACUAUGCUGCCUGUAGCUCCACCUUAGAAGGUGUAAAAAAUCUGGGAGGCCACAAACCAUGGAAGCUGUACGCAUGG